This 616-nucleotide ribosomal RNA is filed under the name Kocuria sp. RNAcentral's name for it is "bacterial SSU rRNA". It matches the Rfam family "Bacterial small subunit ribosomal RNA", at positions 179 to 806 of the family's 1533-position model. The record is from RNAcentral. Lineage: Bacteria; Bacillati; Actinomycetota; Actinomycetes; Micrococcales; Micrococcaceae.
CCUCCUGUCGCAUGGUGGGGGGUGGAAAGGGUUUGUACUGGUUGUGGAUGGGCUCACGGCCUAUCAGCUUGUUGGUGGGGUAAUGGCCUACCAAGGCGACGACGGGUAGCCGGCCUGAGAGGGUGACCGGCCACACUGGGACUGAGACACGGCCCAGACUCCUACGGGAGGCAGCAGUGGGGAAUAUUGCACAAUGGGCGCAAGCCUGAUGCAGCGACGCCGCGUGAGGGAUGACGGCCUUCGGGUUGUAAACCUCUUUCAGCACGGAAGAAGCGAAAGUGACGGUACGUGCAGAAGAAGCGCCGGCUAACUACGUGCCAGCAGCCGCGGUAAUACGUAGGGCGCAAGCGUUGUCCGGAAUUAUUGGGCGUAAAGAGCUCGUAGGCGGUUUGUCGCGUCUGCUGUGAAAGCCCGGGGCUUAACCCCGGGUGUGCAGUGGGUACGGGCAGACUUGAGUGCAGUAGGGGAGACUGGAACUCCUGGUGUAGCGGUGAAAUGCGCAGAUAUCAGGAAGAACACCGAUGGCGAAGGCAGGUCUCUGGGCUGUUACUGACGCUGAGGAGCGAAAGCAUGGGGAGCGAACAGGAUUAGAUACCCUGGUAGUCCAUGCCGUAAA